This 69-nucleotide transfer RNA is filed under the name Guaruba guarouba. RNAcentral describes it as "tRNA-Gly". The record is from RNAcentral. Lineage: Eukaryota; Metazoa; Chordata; Aves; Psittaciformes; Psittacidae.
GCUCUUCUAGUAUAUCCAUUACAACAGACUUCCAAUCUCUAGAAUCUGGUGCAACCCCAGAGAAGAGCA